RNAcentral lists this ribosomal RNA (253 nucleotides) under uncultured bacterium. RNAcentral's name for it is "partial 16S ribosomal RNA". It matches the Rfam family "Bacterial small subunit ribosomal RNA", at positions 524 to 776 of the family's 1533-position model. The record is from RNAcentral.
UACAGAGGGUGCGAGCGUUAAUCGGAUUUACUGGGCGUAAAGCGUGCGUAGGCGGCUUUUUAAGUCGGAUGUGAAAUCCCCGAGCUUAACUUGGGAAUUGCAUUCGAUACUGGGAAGCUAGAGUAUGGGAGAGGAUGGUAGAAUUCCAGGUGUAGCGGUGAAAUGCGUAGAGAUCUGGAGGAAUACCGACGGCGAAGGCAGCCAUCUGGCCUAAUACUGACGCUGAGGUACGAAAGCAUGGGGAGCAAACAGG